AUUGAACGCUGGCGGCAGGCCUAACACAUGCAAGUCGAACGAGCGGCGGACGGGUGAGUAAUGUAUGGGGAUCUGGCCGAUAGAGGGGGAUAACUACUGGAAACGGUGGCUAAUACCGCAUACUAUAGGAUGAGCCCAUAUGGGAUUAGCUAGUCGGUGGGGUAAAGGCUCACCAAGGCGACGAUCCCUAGCUGGUCUGAGAGGAUGACCAGCCACACUGGGACUGAGACACGGCCCAGACUCCUACGGGAGGCAGCAGUGGGGAAUAUUGCACAAUGGGCGCAAGCCUGAUGCAGCCAUGCCGCGUGUAUGAAGAAGGCCUUAGGGUUGUAAAGUACUUUCAGCGGGGAGGCGUUACCCACAGAAGAAGCACCGGCUAACUCCGUGCCAGCAGCCGCGGUAAUUC
This 406-nucleotide ribosomal RNA is filed under the name uncultured bacterium. RNAcentral describes it as "partial 16S ribosomal RNA". It matches the Rfam family "Bacterial small subunit ribosomal RNA", at positions 30 to 526 of the family's 1533-position model. The record is from RNAcentral.